This 301-nucleotide ribosomal RNA is filed under the name uncultured bacterium. RNAcentral's name for it is "partial 16S ribosomal RNA". It matches the Rfam family "Bacterial small subunit ribosomal RNA", at positions 509 to 807 of the family's 1533-position model. The record is from RNAcentral.
CAGUCGCCGCGGGAAUACGGAGGGUGCAAGCGUUAAUCGGAAUUACUGGGCGUAAAGCGCACGCAGGCGGUCUGUCAAGUCGGAUGUGAAAUCCCCGGGCUCAACCUGGGAACUGCAUUCGAAACUGUCAGGCUAGAGUCUUGUAGAGGGGGGUAGAAUUCCAGGUGUAGCGGUGAAAUGCGUAGAGAUCUGGAGGAAUACCGGUGGCGAAGGCGGCCCCCUGGACAAAGACUGACGCUCAGGUGCGAAAGCGUGGGGAGCAAACAGGAUUAGAUACCCCAGUAGUCCCUGUCUCUUAUAC